RNAcentral lists this ribosomal RNA (524 nucleotides) under Paradicta rotunda. Its description in RNAcentral is "partial 16S ribosomal RNA". It matches the Rfam family "Bacterial large subunit ribosomal RNA", at positions 1819 to 2600 of the family's 2925-position model. Lineage: Eukaryota; Metazoa; Arthropoda; Insecta; Blattodea; Blaberidae. The record is from RNAcentral.
CUUUUCUUGUGUAAAGGAAUGAGAAGUAGGACCUGCCCAAUGAAUAUUUAAAUGGCCGCGGUAUUUUGACCGUGCAAAGGUAGCAUAAUCAUUAGUCUUUUUAUUGGGGACUAGAAUGAAUGGUUUGACGAGAUAAAUACUGUCUUUAGGUUAAUAAAUUGAAUUAAAUUUUUUAGUUAAAAAGCUUAAAUGUUUUUAUGGGACGAUAAGACCCUAUAGAGUUUAUAUAUAUUAUUAAUAUUAUUUGAGGGGGUAUGAGUAAUUUAUAAUGUUUAUAAUUUAUUUAAUUGGGGUGAUUAGGAGAUAAAUAGAUAACUCUCUCUUUUGUAGUGUUUACUAAUUUGUAAAAGUUGUGAUCCAUUAUUAUUGAUUAUAAGACUAAAUUACCUUAGGGAUAACAGCGUAAUCUUUUUUGAGAGUUCUCAUUAACAAUAAGGGUUGCGACCUCGAUGUUGGAUUAAGAGUAAAUUAUGGGUGAAGAGGCUUAAAAAAAAUUAGGUCUGUUCGACCUUUAAAAUCUUACA